Molecule: transfer RNA, 72 nt
Filed under: Ipomoea nil (Japanese morning glory)
Lineage: Eukaryota; Viridiplantae; Streptophyta; Magnoliopsida; Solanales; Convolvulaceae
Rfam family: tRNA
About the family: Transfer RNA (tRNA) molecules are approximately 80 nucleotides in length. Their secondary structure includes four short double-helical elements and three loops (D, anti-codon, and T loops).
Source: Rfam by way of RNAcentral
UUCGUUGUUAUCUAGCGGUUAGGAUAUCUGGCUUUCACCCAGGAGACCCGGGUUCAAUUCCUGGCAACAGAA